Molecule: ribosomal RNA, 462 nt
Filed under: uncultured bacterium
Lineage: Bacteria
Description: partial 16S ribosomal RNA
Rfam family: Bacterial small subunit ribosomal RNA
Source: RNAcentral
GACGAACGCUGGCGGCGUGCUUAACACAUGCAAGUCGAGCGGUAAGGCCUUUCGGGGUACACGAGCGGCGAACGGGUGAGUAACACGUGGGUGAUCUGCCCUGCACUUCGGGAUAAGCCUGGGAAACUGGGUCUAAUACCGGAUAUGACCUCCUAUCGCAUGGUGGGGGGUGGAAAGAUUUAUCGGUGCAGGAUGGGCCCGCGGCCUAUCAGCUUGUUGGUGGGGUAAUGGCCUACCAAGGCGACGACGGGUAGCCGACCUGAGAGGGUGACCGGCCACACUGGGACUGAGACACGGCCCAGACUCCUACGGGAGGCAGCAGUGGGGAAUAUUGCACAAUGGGCGAAAGCCUGAUGCAGCGACGCCGCGUGAGGGAUGACGGCCUUCGGGUUGUAAACCUCUUUCAGCAGGGACGAAGCGCAAGUGACGGUACCUGCAGAAGAAGCACCGGCUAACUACGUG